Molecule: long non-coding RNA, 3735 nt
Filed under: Homo sapiens (human)
Lineage: Eukaryota; Metazoa; Chordata; Mammalia; Primates; Hominidae
Description: HSALNT0271325
Source: RNAcentral
UCAUAUAUUACAUGCUUAUGGAAAGUGUUAAUAAAAGUAAUUAAUCUCAUGACACUCAAGGUUGAGAUUUGCUGCAGCAGAUGUUUUAUAGUUUCCAUGCUGUAAGAGGACAUUUGGCAAAAUAAACUAAUGUUGCCUACACAUUGAUAGGUACCAGUGAGUUUACCAAGACAAACAUUUUCAAAAGCCUAUCAAUCAUCAUUAUACUCAGUAAUUAAAAAAUGUGUAGUGGUGGUUGUGUGUUCCAUUACAUUCCCGCCUGCUUUAAAUUCCUUUCACUUUCUACGACUGACAGACCCUCACUCAUUCCUCAUGACCUUGAUAGGCUAGUCGUCUUUUGCCUCCCUACAUUGGCCAUCCAAUCAGAGUAGUCCUUGUUUAUCAAAUAAGUGGAUCCACAUAUGGGCAUGUCACCAAAACAGAGCCAAUCCAAGAUUUUCUGACAACUGAAAUUGAUGUUGGCAUAAAGAGAAUCUUUUUGUUUGUUUAUUUUUCCUGGAUUCACAGGCUGUAGGAUGACGCAUGAUGCAAGUCUGAAGUUGUAUGUGGCCAUCUUUGCCACCACAUUCAGAAAGCUUACCUGAGAAUGAAGUCAACACUGGAGAGAAAGAGAAAGAAAGAGGGAGAACAUAUCAGAUGGAAAGUUGCUCUGUCGCCCAGGCUGGAGUGCAAUGGCACGAUCUGGCUCACUGCAACCUCAGCUUCCCGGGUUCAAGUGAUUCUCCUGCCUCAGCCUCGUGAGUAGCUGGGAUUACAGGAGCAUGCCACCAUGACUGUCUAAUUUUUGUAUUUUUAGUUGAGACGGGGGUUUCACCAUGUUGGCCAGGCUGGUCUCGAACUCCUGACCUUGUGGUCUGCCCACCUCGUCCUCCCAAAGUGCUGGGAUUACAGGCAUGAGCCACCACUCCCAGCCCUGGUUAGGAAUUUUCUACAGAAUUAACUGAGAAAAAAUCCCAGAUGAUACGAGUGUGUUUGUGAGUGUGUGUGUGUGUGUGUGUGUGUGUGUGUGUACCUUGGUAUGACAAUUUUGAUUUACAAAUCAGAUUCUAGAACUAAUAAUUAUUUUAAGCCAAAUUAAAUAAUGUAAAAUGUAAAUUUAUAUGAGUUAUUACUUUAAAAGGUUCACGAUGAAAGAGAUCAUUGGUUUUUAACAAGGAAAAAAAAAACUUGACCUAUAUUUUCUUUCAAGAUUUUUGUAUUUGGACAAGAAAAUGACUCAGUGUUAAAUUCAGGCACUUUAUGACCAGGAUGCAAUAGGUUUGCCAACCUGAAAUUACUUUCUUUCUCUUUCUUUUGAUAUAUGUAAGUGUAGAAUAUCACAACUACCAUGGAAAAACAAAUAAUCAGAGAUUUCUCCUCCUUUUAGGAAUGAUCCUGGCAUGUAAAAAUCUAAUGUUCAUUCUUGCAUUUAGUAAUACAAAAAAGUUGUAAUUCAUUGUAGCAAUCUCUUUUUCAUGGCUUCCCUUCCCUGUUUUCUUUCCUCUUGCCCUCUCCCCUCUUCUGCUCUCCGGAAGUGUACAACCUACUUUCCAGUCUAGUCUGUUAGUCACCAGUAUCCACAAGGGGACCUCAUUCAAAGCACACUACAGAGAUGACACUGAGAUGAGGGAACAGAGCAAGAAGAGGAACUUGAGGAAGGUCUUGAGUUAAAAGUGAUGUGAACUUUGUUGUGCAACCACACAUAGGAACAACUAGGUCUUGAGGAUGCUGGUGGAGUGUUUCUCUUUCAGGGAAAAGGCAGGGAAUGAUAAUAAGGGGCAAUUUGGAGACCACAAAAAUUAUACCCUAACAAAUUAUAUACAAAUCUGAGGCCAGGCACGGUGGCUCACUCCUGUAAUCCCAGCACUUUGGGAGGCAGAGGCGGGUGGAUCACCUGAGGUAAGGAGCUCAAGACCAGCCUGGCCAACAUGGUGAAAACCCAUCCUACUAAAAAUAUAAAAAUUAGCCGAGCUUGUUGGUGCACACCUGUAGUUACAGCUACUCUAGAGGCUGAGGCAGGAGAAUUGCUUGAACUCAGGAGGCAGAUGCUGCAGUGAGCCGAGAUCACGCCACCCUGGGUAACAGAGCGAGAUUCUGUCUCAAAAAAAUAAAUAAAUAAAAUAAAAAAAUAUAUAUAUAUAUACACACACAAAUCUGGAAGAGUAUUUUUCAAUAGUUCUCCAUAUUGUACAUACUAAUAAGUAAUGUUUCUGCUGGGUUGAUGUGCUUCCUAACAGGUGAGAGAGAAAAUAAUUAAUCCUGGCUUUUUAAGAAUGAAUAUAAGUGAGAAGCCUUCAAAUGACUUCAGAAUCACUGUUGUAUUUAGACUGUGAAUAUUAUGGUACAGGAUCAAUAAAAAUUUAUGUUUUAAGUAACGUAACUAUAGAAAAGUACUAUUUUCCAUAUGGUAGGCCAUGUACAACACCAUGAAACGAAGUGAGAAAGUAGAAAAAUAACUGAUCUAAGAGUGAGAAAAACUGGUUCUAGUGCCAAUUCUGUAAUUAAUAAUGUCUAUCAUCUUGGAUAAGUCAUUUAACUCUUGGAACCUAAGUUCUCUUAUUUUUAAAAUGAGGAGAGAGGACUAGGUUAUCUCCAAAGCCCAAUUUAGCCCUAAAUCCUGUGCAAUGGAAGGACAGUACAAUUGGAAACACAUCCUGGUAAUUACUAUCUGCUAUUUAGAUAUCUGUUUACAUAAUUAUCUAAUUUAACCCUCAUAAUAACUGUCCAGUAACAUUUAUCCCCAGUAAAGCUAAUAACAUAGCCUCUUCCUAUAUCCCUGUGGUAUCUCACCUAGUAGCUGAAUUUCAAAAAUGUGUAUGAUCUCAGGCCAGGCGUGGUGGCUCAUUCCUGUAAUUGCAGCACUUUGGGAGGCUGAGGCAGGUCAAUCACCUGAGGUCAGGAGUUCGAGACCAGUCUGACCAAUAUGGUGAAACCCCAUCUCUACUAAAAAUACAAAAAUUAGCUGGGCGUUGUGGUGUGCGCCUGUAGUCCCAGAUAUUCAGGAGGCUGAAACAGGAGAAUUGCUUGAGCCAGGAGGCAGAGGUUGCACCGAGCCGAGAUCAGGCCACUGCACUCUAGCCUGGGCAACAGAGUGAGACUCCAUCUCAAAAAAAAAAAAAAAAAAAAAAUUGUACCAUUUCACAUUAGCUGCAUAAUAUGGCAACUUCAAAAUGUUAUACUAGAUCUUUUAUGUAGAUUACUUUAUUCCCACUGAAAUUUUUAAUUAUUUGAAAUACUAUAUAAAGUAUUUUCAUUUUAUAACUAGAUAGUAAUUUUCUAAGAUUUAAAAAUGUGUAAACACAGUUAUGGCAUAGGCACUGGGGAGAAAACCUCAUAAUUUCAUUGGAUGACUGCAAAAAUUAGCCAAUGUGGAUUAAAAAAACAUUUUAGGAUUCAUUGAUCUAAUAGACACACUUUAGCUUUAAUAAGGCAUUUAAAAUUUGUCAGGAUAAGAUAUAUAGUUUAUAAAACCUCCUUAAGUGGAUUUCUGAAAUUUGGAAUACAAAGGAAACCAGAAAAACAGGUGAAUCAUAGGUUAAAAAUUCUCUAUCAACUUGCAAAAACUUUAAAAACAUCUUUUUUGGUUUCAAAAAAUAUUCAUUUUUCAAGUGCUCCUUAAUUGAAGGGGAAUAAAGUUAUUAAUGGAUUGGUAUUAUACUGACUGUGUAUAAUCAUUUUUAUUCUAGAUUUUUAGAGUUUUCUUUCAUGUAAAAAAUAUGCUAAUUUUGUAGGGUUCUUUUCAUAAGAAAAGAAAAU